RNAcentral lists this long non-coding RNA (1692 nucleotides) under Jatropha curcas. RNAcentral describes it as "long non-coding RNA (JCUR_LNC002719)". The record is from RNAcentral. Lineage: Eukaryota; Viridiplantae; Streptophyta; Magnoliopsida; Malpighiales; Euphorbiaceae.
CUGAAAAUUUUCUACGUAGUUUAGUAACAUAAACACGUAUUUUAUAUUCUACCGUAUUCUUUAUUGCAAAAUUACUAGAAAAUAAAUAAUUUACUAUGAUUUUCAUCUGAUGUUAUAAUAUAAUGGCUACUAAAAGUGCUCCACAGGCAAAAGGUUGAGAGGAGUCUUUUUAGAUACAGUGAGACUAAUACCAGGUUGCUCUUCCAUGUCGAUGUCUUCCCUCUUCAUUCCAUCGGGCAGUUUCCAAUCAAAACAAUACAGAAGGUUUGCAAGUACGAUCUCCACUGUUAUUGUUGCCAUAUGUAUCCCAGGACAAAUUCUUCUACCUGCUCCAAAUGGCAAGAAUUCAAAAUUUUGUCCUUUAAAGUCGAUGUCACUAUCAGCAAAUCUUUCAGGGAAGAAUUGUUCAGGAUCCUUCCAAUACUUAGGAUCACGUCCAAUUGCCCAGGCAUUAACUUGGAUUAGUGUCUUGGGAUAAAUGUCGUAGCCAUUGAUUUUAAAAUGAGAGAUUGUUUCUCUAGGAAGUAGCAGUGGAGCAGCAGGAUGCAAUCUGAAAGUUUCUUUUAUUACCAUCUUUAAGUAUUCAAGCUGGUCGAGAUCACCUUCAGUUAUUCUUCCUUUCUUUCCAACAACAUUUCUAACUUCAUCUUGCGCUUUCUUCAUCACACUCGGAUUCCGAGACAGCUCUGCCAUUGCCCAGUUCACGGUAAUCGCAGAAGUGUCUACUCCAGCUAAAAAUAAAUUCUGACGGACAAAUAUUACAUUUCAAUUAAUAGCACGGACUAGACAUAGAAGACGAAGAAAAUACUCAUAAAUGGAAUGUUGGAAACUUACCAGAAGGACUCCCUUAAUGUUAUCAUUUGUGAACUUUGCCAUUCCAGUUUCAGCUUGUUCUUCCUUUAUUCUUAACAGCACAUCUAUCACGUCGUCUUUCUCCUUAUUCCUUCCUGGUUUAAGAUGAUCAUUGAUUGCAUAUUCAAAAAAGGUAUCCAACUCAUGGAAAACUCUUUCAGUCCUAGCAUGAUGGCUGGUUAUCCAAUCAAAAACCCAACCAAAAUAUGGGAACAAUUCACUUUUAGAGAAGCUUCCUGCCACAGCUUCACCAUCAUGAACCACUUCAUGAAAUCUAUCUCUGUCGAAAUUAGUCCCCCGAUAAUCAAAUCCGAAAGACAUUCGAACUGUGAUAUUUGCAGUAAGGGAAAAUAACUUUUCUGUAAGAUUAAUGGGAGUUUCAGAAGCUGCUGAAUUGGAGAUUGAACUGAUGAACAAUUCAACUUCGGGCUGAAAAUUUUCUACGUAGUUUAGUAACAUAAACACGUAUUUUAUAUUCUACCGUAUUCUUUAUUGCAAAAUUACUAGAAAAUAAAUAAUUUACUAUGAUUUUCAUCUGAUGUUAUAAUAUAAUGGCUACUAAAAGUGCUCCACAGGCAAAAGGUUGAGAGGAGUCUUUUUAGAUACAGUGAGACUAAUACCAGGUUGCUCUUCCAUGUCGAUGUCUUCCCUCUUCAUUCCAUCGGGCAGUUUCCAAUCAAAACAAUACAGAAGGUUUGCAAGUACGAUCUCCACUGUUAUUGUUGCCAUAUGUAUCCCAGGACAAAUUCUUCUACCUGCUCCAAAUGGCAAGAAUUCAAAAUUUUGUCCUUUAAAGUCGAUGUCACUAUCAGCAAAUCUUUCAGGGAAGAAUUGUUCAGG